GUGAGGAAUAUUGGUCAAUGGGCGAGAGCCUGAACCAGCCAAGUCGCGUGAAGGAAGAAGGAUCUAUGGUUCGUAACCUUCUUUUGCAGGGGAAUAAAGUGCAGGACGUGUCCUGUUUUGUAUGUACCCUGAGAAUAAGGAUCGGCUAACUCCGUGCCAGCAGCCGCGGUAAUACGGAGGAUCCGAGCGUUAUCCGGAUUUAUUGGGUUUAAAGGGUGCGUAGGUGGUUUGAUAAGUCAGCGGUGAAAGUUUGCAGCUUAACUGUAAAAAUGCCGUUGAAACUGUCGGACUUGAGUGUAAAUGAGGUAGGCGGAAUGCGUGGUGUAGCGGUGAAAUGCAUAGAUAUCACACAGAACUCCGAUUGCGAAGGCAGCUUACUAAGCUACAACUGACACUGAAGCACGAAAGCGUGGGGAUCAAACAGGAUAGAAACCCCGGUAGUCC
This 444-nucleotide ribosomal RNA is filed under the name uncultured bacterium. RNAcentral describes it as "partial 16S ribosomal RNA". It matches the Rfam family "Bacterial small subunit ribosomal RNA", at positions 354 to 796 of the family's 1533-position model. The record is from RNAcentral.